This 113-nucleotide microRNA precursor is filed under the name Leersia perrieri. RNAcentral's name for it is "pre miRNA mir-160". It matches the Rfam family "mir-160 microRNA precursor family". From Rfam's summary of the family: The hairpin precursors (represented here) are predicted based on base pairing and cross-species conservation -- their extents are not known. In this case the mature sequence is excised from the 5' arm of the hairpin. The record is from Rfam by way of RNAcentral. Lineage: Eukaryota; Viridiplantae; Streptophyta; Magnoliopsida; Poales; Poaceae.
AUAUGCCUGGCUCCCUGUAUGCCGCUCGCAUGGCUGCCAACCCACCAUGAGAGAUUGAUGAGCUCUCUCUCGUUGUUGGCCGCUGCGUACGGCGUGCGAGGUGCCAAGCAUGG